This 3029-nucleotide ribosomal RNA is filed under the name Haemophilus influenzae biotype aegyptius. Its description in RNAcentral is "23S ribosomal RNA". It matches the Rfam family "Bacterial large subunit ribosomal RNA". The record is from RNAcentral. Lineage: Bacteria; Pseudomonadati; Pseudomonadota; Gammaproteobacteria; Pasteurellales; Pasteurellaceae.
GUUGUAUAGUUAAGUGACUAAGCGUACAAGGUGGAUGCCUUGGCAAUCAGAGGCGAAGAAGGACGUGCUAAUCUGCGAAAAGCUUGGAUGAGUCGAUAAGAGGCGUUUAAUCCAAGAUAUCCGAAUGGGGAAACCCAGUAGAUGAAGAAUCUACUAUCAACAAGUGAAUUCAUAGCUUGUUGAGGCAAACCGGGAGAACUGAAACAUCUAAGUACCCCGAGGAAAAGAAAUCAACCGAGAUUUCGUCAGUAGCGGCGAGCGAAAGCGAAAGAGCCAGUAAGUGAUAGCAAUAUAGUUAGGAGAAUGUGUUGGGAAGCACAAUCAAAGAGGGUGAUAAUCCCGUAUCUAAAAACCAUAUUGUGGUACUAAGCUAACGAGAAGUAGGGCGGGACACGUGAUAUCCUGUUUGAAGAAGGGGGGACCAUCCUCCAAGGCUAAAUACUCCUGAUUGACCGAUAGUGAACCAGUACUGUGAAGGAAAGGCGAAAAGAACCCCGGUGAGGGGAGUGAAAUAGAACCUGAAACCUUGUACGUACAAGCAGUGGGAGCCCCAUCACUUAAUCCGAUUGGAAGGUGAUGAAAAGCAACCGCACUUAAACAAUGGUAAGAGGAGCGAAGCGAGUCAAACCACCCAAAAGAAGCAGUGGGAUUAAGUGAUGGGGUGACUGCGUACCUUUUGUAUAAUGGGUCAGCGACUUAUAUUUUGUAGCGAGGUUAACCGAAUAGGGGAGCCGAAGGGAAACCGAGUCUUAACUGGGCGUUGAGUUGCAGGGUAUAGACCCGAAACCCGGUGAUCUAGCCAUGGGCAGGUUGAAGGUUGGGUAACACUAACUGGAGGACCGAACCGACUAAUGUUGAAAAAUUAGCGGAUGACUUGUGGCUGGGGGUGAAAGGCCAAUCAAACCGGGAGAUAGCUGGUUCUCCCCGAAAUCUAUUUAGGUAGAGCCUUGAGGUGACACCUUUGGGGGUAGAGCACUGUUUCGGCUAGGGGUCCAUCCCGGAUUACCAACCCGAUGCAAACUACGAAUACCAAAGAGUGAUACUCAGGAGACACACGGCGGGUGCUAACGUCCGUCGUGGAGAGGGAAACAACCCAGACCGCCAGCUAAGGUCCCCAAGUCUAUAUUAAGUGGGAAACGAAGUGGGAAGGCUUAGACAGCUAGGAUGUUGGCUUAGAAGCAGCCAUCAUUUAAAGAAAGCGUAAUAGCUCACUAGUCGAGUCGGCCUGCGCGGAAGAUGUAACGGGGCUGAAAUAUAGCACCGAAGCUGCGGCAUCAGGCGUAUCACUAAUACGCCUGUUGGGUAGGGGAGCGUUGUGUAAGCGGAUGAAGGUUCAUCGAGAGGUGGGCUGGACGUAUCACAAGUGCGAAUGCUGACAUAAGUAACGAUAAAACGGGUGAAAAACCCGUUCGCCGGAAGACCAAGGGUUCCUGUCCAACGUUAAUCGGGGCAGGGUAAGUCGGCCCCUAAGGCGAGGCUGAAAAGCGUAGUCGAUGGGAAACAGGUUAAUAUUCCUGUACUUGGUAAAGCUGCGAUGUGGGGACGGAGUAGGUUAGGUUAUCGCACUGUUGGAUAUGUGCGUUUAAGUUGGUAGGUGGGAAGUUUAGGCAAAUCCGGACUUCCUUAACACAGAGAGAUGAUGACGAGGCUCUACGGAGCUGAAGUAACUGAUACCACACUUCCAGGAAAAGCCACUAAGCGAAAGGCUUUACUAAACCGUACUGAAAACCGACACAGGUGGUCAGGUAGAGAAUACUCAGGCGCUUGAGAGAACUCGGGUGAAGGAACUAGGCAAAAUAGCACCGUAACUUCGGGAGAAGGUGCGCCGGCGUAGAUUGUAAGGGCUAGCCCCUGAAGGUUGAACCGGUCGAAGUGACCAGCUGGCUGCAACUGUUUAUUAAAAACACAGCACUCUGCAAACACGAAAGUGGAGGUAUAGGGUGUGAUGCCUGCCCGGUGCUGGAAGGUUAAUUGAUGGUGUCAUCGCAAGAGAAGCACCUGAUCGAAGCCCCAGUAAACGGCGGCCGUAACUAUAACGGUCCUAAGGUAGCGAAAUUCCUUGUCGGGUAAGUUCCGACCUGCACGAAUGGCAUAAUGAUGGCCAGGCUGUCUCCACCCGAGACUCAGUGAAAUUGAAAUCGCCGUGAAGAUGCGGUGUACCCGCGGCUAGACGGAAAGACCCCGUGAACCUUUACUAUAGCUUGACACUGAACAUUGAAUUUUGAUGUGUAGGAUAGGUGGGAGACUUUGAAGUAGGAACGCCAGUUUCUAUGGAGUCAUCCUUGAAAUACCACCCUUUAACGUUUGAUGUUCUAACGAAGAUUGCGGAACGUGGUCUCGGACAGUGUCUGGUGGGUAGUUUGACUGGGGCGGUCUCCUCCCAAAGCGUAACGGAGGAGCACGAAGGUUUGCUAAUCACGGUCGGACAUCGUGAGGUUAGUGCAAUGGUAUAAGCAAGCUUAACUGCGAGACAGACAAGUCGAGCAGGUACGAAAGUAGGUCAUAGUGAUCCGGUGGUUCUGAAUGGAAGGGCCAUCGCUCAACGGAUAAAAGGUACUCCGGGGAUAACAGGCUGAUACCGCCCAAGAGUUCAUAUCGACGGCGGUGUUUGGCACCUCGAUGUCGGCUCAUCACAUCCUGGGGCUGAAGUAGGUCCCAAGGGUAUGGCUGUUCGCCAUUUAAAGUGGUACGCGAGCUGGGUUUAGAACGUCGUGAGACAGUUCGGUCCCUAUCUGCCGUGGGCGUAGGAUGAUUGAUUGGGGCUGCUCCUAGUACGAGAGGACCGGAGUGGACGCAUCACUGGUGUUCCAGUUGUCUCGCCAGAGGCAUUGCUGGGUAGCUAAAUGCGGAAGAGAUAAGUGCUGAAAGCAUCUAAGCACGAAACUUGCCAAGAGAUGAGUCAUCCCUGACUUUAAGUCAGUAAGGGUUGUUGUAGACUACGACGUAGAUAGGUCAGGUGUGUAAGUGUAGUGAUACAUUGAGCUAACAGAUACUAAUUGCCCGAGAGGCUUAACUAUACAACGCUCAAG